This 23-nucleotide non-coding RNA is filed under the name Cricetulus griseus (Chinese hamster). The record is from RNAcentral. Lineage: Eukaryota; Metazoa; Chordata; Mammalia; Rodentia; Cricetidae.
AACCAUAGUUGGCUUAAAAGCAG